AUGGGAUACUCCCCCGCUGAGUCUUUGGCCAUCGCCAACAGGCUUAAUUGCCGCAUGGGCUCCUUCCCUACAACCUACUUGGGGACGCCCAUUAGUGACUCCCGGCUAACCGUCGCGGACUUGCGCCCCUCCGUGGCCAAGCUCCAAACGCGCGUCGAGCCAUGGCAGGGGAGGUGGCUGUCCAAAGCGGCCCGGACUAUCCUCAUCAACUCUUCCCUCUCCAGCCUCCUCUUGUUUCUCAUGAGCUUCUACAGCCUCCACGAGACCCUUCACAAGGAGAUUGCCAAGAUACAGUCCCGCUUUUACUGGGCGGGCGACAAUGAUAAGCAGAAGUAUCAUAUGGUCAGUUCGCCUGACAUUUGCAAGCCCCGGGAGCAAGGUGGCCUUGGCAUCAUGUGCUCUAAACGGAUGAAUAUUGCCCUCCUCUCCCGCUGGCUUUGGCGAAUCUCGCAAGGGCACGGUGGUCUUUGGCUUGACAUCAUCCGGAACAAAUACUUGUGCGGACAGCCACUCGCCUUUUGCCAAAAGUCUGGAGGCUCUUAG
This 543-nucleotide ribosomal RNA is filed under the name Triticum aestivum (bread wheat). RNAcentral's name for it is "partial small subunit ribosomal RNA". Lineage: Eukaryota; Viridiplantae; Streptophyta; Magnoliopsida; Poales; Poaceae. The record is from RNAcentral.